GGGAAUGUAGCUUAGUGGUAGAGUGCUUGCCUAACAUGCACAAGGUCUGAGUUCAAUUCCUCAGCACCA
RNAcentral lists this transfer RNA (69 nucleotides) under Dipodomys ordii (Ord's kangaroo rat). It matches the Rfam family "tRNA". From Rfam's summary of the family: Transfer RNA (tRNA) molecules are approximately 80 nucleotides in length. Their secondary structure includes four short double-helical elements and three loops (D, anti-codon, and T loops). Further hydrogen bonds mediate the characteristic L-shaped molecular structure. tRNAs have two regions of fundamental functional importance: the anti-codon, which is responsible for specific mRNA codon recognition, and the 3' end, to which the tRNAs corresponding amino acid is attached (by aminoacyl-tRNA synthetases). tRNAs cope with the degeneracy of the genetic code in two manners: having more than one tRNA (with a specific anti-codon) for a particular amino acid; and 'wobble' base-pairing, i.e. permitting non-standard base-pairing at the 3rd anti-codon position. The record is from Rfam by way of RNAcentral. Lineage: Eukaryota; Metazoa; Chordata; Mammalia; Rodentia; Heteromyidae.